GCUAGAGAACGCUCUCGGGGGAUGCCCGAGGUGCCAGAGGCCGAAGAAGGACGUGCGUAAGGCCGCGAGAACCACGGGGAGUUGCCUAACGAACGGUGAUCCGUGGAUGUCCGAAUGGGGCAACCCGGCGCGCCGGAAGGCGCGUCACCACCACUGGUGGGGGUAAGCACGCGAACUGAAACAUCUCAGUAGCGUGAGGAGAGAGAAGCAAGCGCGAGGCCGUGAGUAGUGGCGAGCGAAAGCGGUCGCAGCCUAAACCGCGUGGACUGAGUGGGUGUGCGCCCUAUGUUCACGCGGGGUUGUACGGAUCGAGUGGAGGCCCCGCGCAGGGCCUCGCGAACGCGUGCCAUCUAGGGGAAGCGGAUGGGAAGCCGCACCAUAGUGGGUGAGAGUCCCGUACCCGAAAGGUGGCGAGGCAUCGUGACGCGAUCUCGUAAGUACCGCCCUGCACGAGGAACGGGGCGGGAAGCCGGGGGGACCACCCUCCAAGGCGCGAGUACCUCUGGCAACCGAUAGGGAAGUAGUACCGUGAGGGAACGGUGAAAAGAACCCCGGCGAGGGGAGUGAAAGAGAGUCUGAAACCGAGAGCGUGCAGUCGGUCGGAGGGAGGAGCCGCAAGGUUCGUCCUGACGGCGUGCCUAUUGAAGAAUGAACCGGCGAGUGACCGGAUGUGGCGAGGUUAAGGGAGAGGAAUCCCGGAGCCGGAGCGCAAGCGAGUCUGAAUGGGGCGUGUCUCGUCACGAGACGGAGUCGCAUUCGGUCGACCCGAAACCAGGUGAGCUACCCAUGGCCAGGGUGAGGCGGGGGGACAACCCCGUGGAAGCCCGAACCGUCCCGCGUUGCAAAGCGGUUGGAAGAGCUGUGGGUAGAGGUGAAAUGCCAAACGAACUUGGAGAUAGCUGGUUCUCCCCGAAAUGCAUUGAGGUGCAGCCUGCGUCAUACGUGUGCAUCAGGUAGCGCUCUGUUGAGGCUAGGGGCCGUCGAGGCUACCGAACUUCGGCAAACGACGAAUGGGUGUACGCAAGACGCGGAGUGAGACGAUGGGGGCUAAGCUUCAUCGUCGAGACGGAAACAACCGAGACCGUCAGCUAAGGUCCCAAAAUACGGGCUAAGUGUUAAAGGAAGUGCGUGUGCGCAGACAGCCAGGAGGUUGGCUUAGAAGCAGCCAUCCUUGAAAGAGUGCGUAACAGCUCACUGGUCGAGUGUACGUGCGCCGACAAUUCACCGGGGCUCAAGCCCGUUACCGAAGCUGCGGAUUGGCGUGAUCUGCACGCCAGUGGUAGGGGAGCGUCCCCCAGGCCGGUGAAGCAUGCGUGGAAACGCGUGUGGAGGUACGGGGAGUGCGGAUGCCGGUAUGAGUAGCGAUAAGUGAGGUGAGAAGCCUCACCGCCGAAAGCCCAAGGUUUCCGACGCGAGGUACGUCCGCGUCGGGUUAGUCGGGCCUAAGCCGAGGGCGUAAGAGCCGUAGGCGAUGGGCAACGGGUUGAUAUUCCCGUACCGAUCUGAGAUUGCUUGACUGAAGCGGGGGAGCAUAGGGGUAGGCCGUGCACCGGUUUUAUGGAACGGUGUCUAAGCGUGUGGGCGGGCCGGAGGUAAAUGACCGGCUGAUGCUGAGGCGCGACGGAGCGGUGUUGGGCAACCAGCACUGUAGCGGUGGAGCUCGGGAUGCCAAGAAAAGCCGCGUAGGGAGAUUUCAGAUCGUCCGUACCGCAGACCGACGCAGGUGGGCAAGUGCGUAGUGCACUAAGGCGAACGGGUGAUCCUUCGUCAAGGAACUCGGCAAAAUGCCCCCGUAACUUCGGGAGAAGGGGGACCACGGGUAGGUAAGAGGAUCUCGCAUCCUCGAGCUGAGCGUGGGCGCAGAGAGCAGGCCCAGGCGACUGUUUACCAAAAACACAGGUCCCUGCUAAGCCGUAAGGCGCUGUAUAGGGGCUGACACCUGCCCAGUGCCGGAAGGUUAAGGGGAGGGCUGAUGAGGCCCGAGCCGAAGCCCCGGUGAACGGCGGCCGUAACUAUAACGGUCCUAAGGUAGCGAAAUUCCUUGUCGGGUAAGUUCCGACCCGCACGAAUGGUGUAACGAUCUGGGCGCUGUCUCGACGGAGGGCCCGGCGAAAUUGAAGUGGCCGUGAAGAUGCGGCCGACCCGCGAUAGGACAAAAAGACCCCGUGGAGCUUUACUGCAGCUUGGCAUUGGUCCGGGGGAUGCGUUGCGUAGGAUAGGCGGGAGCCUGUGAUGCGGUCCUCUCGGGGGCCGCGGAGGCAACGGUGAAAUACCGCUCUGCGUGUUCUCUGGAUCUAACGGCGCGCAAGCGCGCGGACAGUGCCUGGUGGGCAGUUUGACUGGGGCGGUCGCCUCCCAAAGAGUAACGGAGGCGCCCAAAGGUUCCCUCGGGCCGGAUGGAAAUCGGCCGAUAGAGUGCAUUGGCAUAAGGGAGCCUGACAGAGAGGGCAACAACCCGAUCUGGGGCGAAAGCCGGGCAAAGUGAUCCUACGGCACCGUGUGGAAGGGCCGUGGCUUAACGGAUAAAAGUUACCCCGGGGAUAACAGGCUUAUCCUGCCCAAGAGUUCACAUCGACGGCAGGGUUUGGCACCUCGAUGUCGGCUCGUCGCAUCCUGGGGCUGGAGUCGGUCCCAAGGGUUGGGCUGUUCGCCCAUUAAAGCGGUACGCGAGCUGGGUUCAGAACGUCGUGAGACAGUUCGGUCUCUAUCCAUCGUGGGCGCAGGAGGCUUGAGGGGAGCCGCUCCCAGUACGAGAGGACCGGAGCGGACGGACCGCCGGUGUGAGGGUUGUCCCGCCAGGGGCACAGCCCUGUAGCUGACGUCCGGAACGGAGAAGCGCUGACAGCAUCUAAGCGCGAAGCCGGCCCCAAGAUGAGGCCUCCCAUCACGCAAGUGAGUAAGGCCGGUUGUAGACCACAACCUUGAUAGGCCGUGGGUGGAAGAUCGGUAACGAUUGCAGCCACGCGGUACUAAUGGCCGAGGGC
Molecule: ribosomal RNA, 2984 nt
Filed under: Chloroflexota bacterium
Lineage: Bacteria; Bacillati; Chloroflexota
Description: Chloroflexi bacterium (freshwater metagenome) 23S ribosomal RNA
Rfam family: Bacterial large subunit ribosomal RNA
Source: RNAcentral